UUAAUUGAAGCCAAAACUAGAGGCAAUUUAUUGUUAAUAAAUGUAUUGAUAUCCAAAUAUCCAAUUAAA
This 69-nucleotide transfer RNA is filed under the name Dictyla platyoma. RNAcentral's name for it is "tRNA-Asn". Lineage: Eukaryota; Metazoa; Arthropoda; Insecta; Hemiptera; Tingidae. The record is from RNAcentral.